CUCACUGGGAAUCAAACCACCACCUUCUGAGCCACCUCGGCCAGGGCAGGUUUGGCUUUUUAAUGGGAGAAGGGGCCCAAGAGACAAAUGUGUGAAGGGCCCAUGAAACUCAUCAUGCUGCCCUGAGUAAGCAGGACUUGGACACAGAUCUGGUCUCCGCUGAAGGCCAGGGCGGUCAGAGAAACGCCCAGCCUCUCCCCCAGGAGCACAGAAACGCCCAGGGCAGUUCUGAGAGCUGAGUGCGCGCCUGUCCCUGGGAAGGGACACUCGGCCUGCUGGCCGCUCUCCCUGGUGGGCAAACUGCACGGGCUCAACUCCUGGCCUAAAGCAGCCAGCGCUGGAGCAGCCACCAACGGCACCAUAACUGAGGCCCCACCAGGAGGUCGGCCUCCUUUCCCUCCACGUCUCGGAGGAGACAGCGUAGACGGAGGUAGUGACCGUGCUCAUGGAAGGGGCGUGUUGCUUUUAAUGAAGGCGUCACCAGAGUUGGAAAUCCACGCUUGAGCUGUGCGAGUUCAGGAUUGCACAACCUGAGGCAGAAACCAUGAAAUGAGAACAGAGGCCUGAGGGAUGAGCAGUCCUGGGUUCCUUCCAGGUGAGCAGCGCUGUUGCCCAGCAGAAGCAGCAACCCCGGGGCAGUGCUCAGACCUUCUCUCUCACCCCUGCCCCUCACUCUUCCCCAAGGACACCGAUGGAGGAAACAGUGGGAGAGACCUGUCUGGGACAGUAGACUUCGGAGCAUAAACGCCACCAAGAAGCGUCCUUCAUUCCAUUUCCUCUUUGCCAGGACUGCCUGGGCCCCUGCAGGGACUCGCCCUCCCAGCCUGCGCUGAGAGAUGGAGCUGAACGCAUUCCGAAGAGCAGUGAAGACGCGCGUGAGGAAAGUUCUAGCACAUGGCUUCCAGCAGUGACCACCUGACAGCACCCUCUUCCUCUGUGAGUUUCCUGAAGUGACCAACGUGACUAUGAUAAGAACAAUCACCGAUCGGGUACUUCCUACCUGCCAGCGCUUACGGUGGCAUUUCACCGAAUUAUCCGAACAGCCCAAUGAGGUCUUACUGUUCUUGUCAACCUUGGUUUCAUAGACUGACCGAGGGAGUAUGUGACUCAAAGUUUCGUGACUAAUAAAAGUGGAUUCCAAC
Molecule: long non-coding RNA, 1142 nt
Organism: Myotis brandtii (Brandt's bat)
Lineage: Eukaryota; Metazoa; Chordata; Mammalia; Chiroptera; Vespertilionidae
Exons: 3
Source: RefSeq, a predicted model, not a curated record